Molecule: long non-coding RNA, 4420 nt
Organism: Numida meleagris (helmeted guineafowl)
Lineage: Eukaryota; Metazoa; Chordata; Aves; Galliformes; Numididae
Exons: 4
Source: RefSeq, a predicted model, not a curated record
CUCGCAGCCUUCUCUUAUCCAGGCUGAACAGCCCAAGCUGUCAGCCUGUCCCUGUAGGACCAGCAUUCCAUUCUGUGGAUCAUUUCUGUGGCCCUCCUCCAGAUGCACUCCAACAGGUCUAUGUCUUUGCUCUACUGAGAACUCCUCAUCUGGACGCAGUGCUCCAGGUGAGGCCCCACCAGCGCAGAGCAGAGCAGGGGGCAAGAUCCCCUCUCUCAACCUGCUGGCCACAUUUCUUUUGAUGCAGCCCAGGGUACAGUUGGCUUUAAGGGCUGUAAGGGCACAGGGCUGGCUCAUGUCCAGCUUGCCAUCCACCAGUACCCCAGGUCUUUUUUGGCAGGGUUGCACUCAAUCCUUUAAUCCCCCAGCUUGUAUUAGUAAUGGGGGUUGCCUUGACCCAGGCGUAAGAUGUUGCACUUGGAUUUGCUGAACCUCAUGAGGUUCACCUGGGCCCACUGUUCAGCCCAUCUAGGUCGCUCUGGAUGGCAUCCCAUCCCUCUGGUGUGUCACUGCACCCCACAGCUCAGUGUUACCAGCAAGCUUACUGAGGGUGCACUCGGCCCCGCUGUUGAUGUCACUGGUGAAGAUACUAAAGAGUAUUGGCCCCAGCACUGACACCCUGGGGGGCACCACUCGUCACCCAUCUCCACCCAGACUUUGAGCCAUUGGCCACCACUCUCUGGACACAAUCCUGCAGCCAGUUCUUCAUCCAUCAAACAGUCCACCCAUCAAAUCCAUAUCUCUCCAAUUGGAAAAAAAGGAUAUUGUGGGGCACCAUGUCAAAGGCUUUUCUGAAGUCCAUAUAGAUGACAUCAGUGGCUUCUUCCCUGUCCACUGAUGAAGAGACACCAUCAUAGGAGGCCACUAGGUUGGUCAAACAGGAUUUCCCCUUGGUGAAGCCAUGCUGGCUCUCCCAUAUCAGCUCCCUGCCUUAGCAUAGCUUCCAGAAGGAUCUGUUCCAUGAUCUUCCCUGGCACAGAGGUGAGAGUGACAGGUUGGUAGUUCCCAGAGUCAUCCUUUUUACCCUUUUUAAAAAUGGGUAUGAUGUUACCUUUUUUCCAGUGGCCAGAAACUUCACCUGUUUACCACGACUUGACAGUGGCUUGGCGACUACAUCAGCUAAUACUCUCAGGACUCUGGGUUGCAUCUCAUCAGGACCCAUAGGCUUGUGGAUGUUCAGGUUCCUCAGGUGGUCAUGCACCUGAUCUUUGCUUACAGUGGGAGGGACAUUGCUUCCCCAAUCCCCUCCCUCCAAACCAAAUGUUUGAGGGGUGUGUGGCAAGCAGUUAUCAGAGAAGAUAAAAUAUGUUCCUGUGAAUAGUUAAACCCAUUCCUCUGAGUUUGAGCUCUCUUAAAUGGCUUUGCAACCUUCUAAGCCAUAUGACUGCUACUUUGGCAUCUUGUGUAGCCUGGAAGUCACACAGGAAUUGGAUGCCAGAGGAGAGGCAGUCAUUCUACAAGAACAUGAAUCUGUACCUUUACGUAUUGUGGACUGUAGCAGAAAUGCAAAGUCACGGCUUGAAACAGUGAUGGAGCACCUGGUGGGAAGGUAGGGCCAACCCAGAGGAGCCCAGGUGCAUGCAAUGCCAGGAUCCACCCCUUCCCAGACCUCAUUUCAGGGUUGGCAGUGGAUCUAUGCUUACCUGAGGUUUUCCAUAGGUAAGCAGCUUUUUUCUUUCAUUUCUGUAUCUACAGCUGCUGUACUUGGGCUUGUCCUCAUUUGCUGCAGCCAACACCUUUGCCACCCUGUUAUUGCUGUACUUUCCAUCACAUUAUAGUAUUACAUGGACAAAAGAACAGCUCAAUGGAUGUAAAGCAAUAAGAGCUUUUCAAAAUGUCUCUCUGGUAUUAAUUCAUGUCUCUAGCUGAAGUAUCUGCAGUUAGUACACCAGUGAAUGUAUCUGUAUUUUAAUGUGGUCAAGUUAAAAAUGAAGGCAUGUUACGUCCUCUCAAAUAUUUACCAUUCUGUGGAAGAUCUCAGUUAUUACUUACCUAAAAGGUAGAUACAAUAUUUCUUUGCCUGUGAGAGCAAAAUGCAGGUAGCCUUUUAUGAAAUUAGUAGAUACAGUUUUCAAGCAGUAGUCAUGAAAGUCUUCAUUUAAGUUUAAGAAGAGAGAGAACAACUUUAAUAACAUGUCACUUAAAAGUUUCAUUGCCUAAAACUUGUCUUAUAAAGAAUAAUUUUAUAUGGCUUAAUCCUAUAUUUAAGAAAAUGCAUUAGGUGUUAGCAAUAUUGAUGGUAUAUAAAAUAUAAUACUCCAUGAAAUCUGAAUCUCGCUAUAUAUUAUUAUACAGAUUUUUAAUUAUGAAAACAAACAUCGUAAUCACUGUAGUACAUCUACAUCUAUACAUGUAAUAUAUUCCAUGUAUACAUAGAGAGAAUACGUGCACGAAGUCAGCGUGAAGUUCAAAUAUAGCUGAAGCCAACAAAGCGAACACCUCUUUCAGAAGUAAAAAUCUUUGUCUUCAAGACCAAGUAGAUUCAGGAAAUGAAAAGAGAAAUAAUCUUCAAUAAUUGCAAAGUCUUAAUGUUUCUGUCAUCACUGGCAAAUGAAGAUAAUAAGAGAAACUAUAUAGAUUUGUCUGCCUUCCUGAAAGUGUUCAAAUAUGACAUACCCCUCUUUUCACUUAGGUUUUUGGUUUCGUGGCAUUGUCUAUUAGCAUGGGAAAUAUUUAGAGAGACAUUUAUUACUGAAUUACUAGUGUGACUGACUUCUCCAGCAUUUCAGAAAGCGCUUCAGCCUGACACAUGAUGGCAGAAGAGGGAUAAACUGAAGGAUGACACUGAAAGCGAGGUCAGUACUGAGCUCUGGUAACAUGUCCUUUCACACAACCAGAUGUUCGUGAUCUGUCACUUCCCUUGAUGUUCCCAUACUUGACAUCUACCACUUGAAUUAGAAUAAACUAGAUGUCCACAAAGAUGAAUAACUUUUCCAGAAAUCUCCAACAGGGCUGCAUUAAUAAGGAAUUUAUGUUUAUUUUCUGAGUAUGUGUCUGAAAAUAUUUUUAUAAUGUUCUGUAUUUCCACCUAGCCUUUUCCAUGAAUAAUACUUUUAAAGUGAGGUUACUGUCACAAGAUGAGGUUUUUUUUUCAGGAUGGGUCAUUCAGACUUCUGUUUUGAUGAGCUUUCUGCACCCAGCAACAAUUCAAGAGUUGACGUUUUUCCAGGUUAUAGGCCCACUGUGAAUCAGAUACGAUUGUUGCUGCUGUUUCGCUCUCACGCCCAUCUCCCUACCCUUUUUUCCCUUUUCCCUUUCCCGGGGCAUGGGUCCGUGGGUCCCCCGUACCAUUCGUCACAGAACCAGGCCGAACGCCCGUAAACCGUUGACACUCCUGCAUCGCUGCUCAAGACUAAGCUCUAGCUCAGAUGCACAAGGAUAAGGAUUUACAGGGGCAGAGAGAAGAACCUCUUCAGCUGAGGAGGUAGACUGAGAACAAACUUGUCUGCACUGCAUACAUCUGUAGGAACAGUCAGGCUGGAACAAUGACAGGGAAUGUCACGGAGACUCAAAGCAUAUGGGAAUGUUGAAACUACUCAGGCUUGGACAAGUCACCCCAUCUCACUGAAGGAUUCCAUCAAAACCUUCCUUCCUUUAACAACGUAUUUGGGGCAAGGAGAGAUCUCCCUUGCAUGGAGUCAUGGAUUUACUGGAUUUUUCCACGGCUGCUACUCUUUCUUUCUCCCAUCAGCCUGUUAUCUUCCACAACAAGACUGUCUACUGUGGUCUGGGGAGCCAUCUUCAUUCCACUUUUGAACAGAUAUUCUCACUAAAUUUAAAACUGUAAGUAAGAAUUGUACAAUUGUAGGUAAGGAUUUCUGACUGGAGGUAUUCAGGUAGCCAAACAAUAUGGGCUCUUCUAAAAGACUUGGAGAGAAUCUUGCCUUCUCUUUUAGCACUUGUUCAUGACUAGCCAAAAGGAGGAAGAGCUCAGUGCUAUGACUAUCUAGUUUAGUCUCAUAAUCUCACAAUUCCUGUUCUGUUCCUACUGUACUGCACUUCUCUUUCCCUCACCAAGUAGCCAAGGUUAUUUUUCUGCUCUCUGGCUGAAAUGUGAACAUUGCCCUAAAGCUCCUCUAUGAAUGUCUUCCCUUAUAAUGUUUUGAGUGCAGGAAUUCAAAGCCUCACGUCAGACUAUUCACUCCACCACGCACAAUGGUAAUGUGGCCUAGAGCCAGCUUCACACUGUCUGUUAAUGUAUUAAGUGAGUUAGUGGAGACACUGCUGUUCACAAUUAAUUUAUAGAUACAAACCAUGUUUUCCUUGGUGAAAUACUCUAAAAGACUCACCUAUACCACUUCAUGAUGAGUGACUUGUAUUAGCAUGAUGUAAAGAUAGGUAGCAGCAGAUACAGUUGCCUUAAACCAGUUUUGAAUCACCCAAGAAAGGUAGCAUUCACAAUCGAGUAAUAAAGGAAACA